CUACGGAGGGCUCCAGUGAGGAAUAUUGCACAAUGGAGGAAACUCUGAUGCAGCAACGCCGCGUGGAGGAUGACGCAUUUCGGUGUGUAAACUCCUUUUAUAUGUCAAGAAAAUGACGGUAGCAUAUGAAUAAGCUCCGGCUAACUCCGUGCCAGCAGCCGCGGUAAUACGGAGGGAGCAAGCGUUACUCGGAAUCACUGGGCGUAAAGGACGCGUAGGCGGGAUAGAAAGUCAGGUGUGAAAUCCUAUGGCUCAACCAUAGAACUGCACUUGAAACUUCUAACCUAGAGUAUGGGAGGGGAAGAUGGAAUUAGUGGUGUAGGGGUAAAAUCCGUAGAUAUCACUAGGAAUACCAAAAGCGAAGGCGAUCUUCUGGAACAAUACUGACGCUAAGGCGUGAAAGCGUGGGGAGCAAACAGGAUUAGAUACCCUUGUAGUC
RNAcentral lists this ribosomal RNA (439 nucleotides) under uncultured bacterium. RNAcentral's name for it is "partial 16S ribosomal RNA". It matches the Rfam family "Bacterial small subunit ribosomal RNA", at positions 339 to 795 of the family's 1533-position model. The record is from RNAcentral.